UGACACCCAGACCAGAACAUGCCUCCCUC
This 29-nucleotide non-coding RNA is filed under the name Homo sapiens (human). The record is from RNAcentral. Lineage: Eukaryota; Metazoa; Chordata; Mammalia; Primates; Hominidae.